ACAAAAAACAGAGGAAAAACCUGAAGGAAGAGGCAAAGAUGGCCUUAACUUCACAGGAGAGGUAGACAUGCCUUUGCUGGGAGAGGAGCAGGGUAGCGGUCAUCGCCGUUGCCGGCAGGAGGUGUCUCCAGUGUGAAAAGACAUGGAAGCAAGCUGGAGAUUCGCGACUCAGCUACAAUGAACUCCAUUAAAAUCCUUUGAAGCAUUCAAUUGCCGCAACAGACCUAGAGGAAAAUAGCCCAAUUAACUCACCCACUCACCAAAAAUAAGAAAUGGAGGGAAAGAGAUCCAAGAACACAAACCUACACUACAAUGGGUGAGUGGAUAAGAAGCAUAAACAUGUAGCAAUACAACAAGCCUCUGAAGGAGACAUGGCGGCUCAGCGGUGACGGCAAGAGAGGCGAGCUGCUGGCUAGCAUCCUCUUCAGUCUCAGCGUAGUACCUACAAAGAAAUGUACCCCUGUAGAAAUACCGAACCAUUACAAAUGUAGCCUCCCAUAAAAAUAUAACCCUCUUCUAAUAAUAACAAAAAUUCUAGUAAAUACAUAUUUCAUUAGCAAGAGAACGGGCAACCUCUUUGUUUGUUGAUAGCUUAGCAGGCUCCAAAAGCAGGGAAAACUCUUGUUGGUUGAUAGCUUGUAAGUCACUAAAGGUAGCUUGAGGUCCGCACACAAAAAUUAAGUCCUCUGAGAUCACAUAAGAGACAUAAUAUAAAUUUCAAAUAUUUACAAAUAAAGUCACAGUUUGGUUUGGUCUGUUCCCUUGAAAGAAAAACGGAUAAGACAUGGGACUUUAUGACAAAAAUAAUGGCUAAUUACAUGAGUGGUAUCAGGUUUCAAAGAUUUUGUGAUACCAAGAAUACUAAAGUAUAGUGAUUAAAAGGGAAACAUGAUUACUGAACAUUAUUUAUUGCCAAAUUAUUAUCUUUGAAGAAGUCCCACAGAAAAAAGGAAAUAGAUAAGUUGUAAAGAUCACCGUGCAUUUUCGCUAAAUCUUGAACUAAAUUCAGUUCAUAAAUUUAAAAGCAUUCUCUGAAGGGCUUGACCUAAGAAAGAUGAUGAGCCGGAGAUUAACUACAUUGGCGGUUUCAACAACAUAUACAUAGCAACAACUCUUAUAGAUCCUACCUAACACAUGCAGUAAAAAUAUUUUGGUAGGGAAUCAAAGAUAAAUAAAAUUUAGCUGGCUCCUAACCAUUUAUGUGGGGUUACAUGAUGUAUUCAACGACCCUGAGAAUAGUGCAGGAAAUUUAAGGGUAUGGAGUCAUACUUGUCUGCAGUUAUAAAAGAAGAGUUGCUUGUCUGUUGCGUGAGUUCAAGAGGGACGAACGUGAAUGGUUUCAAGGAGGUUAACAGUCGCACUACCAGUUCACCACAGUUCAGUCGCUCGACACCAUAACCGACGGUUGCGUCCUUUACUGGUUUGAUUAAAACUAUCAUUGGUAUGCCUCCUCCUUCCGUGCAUAAACACCCAGGGAUAAAUUCAUCUACAGGGUCAAAAAUAGGUGCUGGAUUAAUGCAUAUUCAGAACUUGGGACCAAGAAAAAGUCCACAUUUGCGGAGUAAUGCAUUAUUGGCAGAAAUAGAGAAGUAGCUAUAAUUAUUAAAAACACCAAGAGCCUUCACUAAAUGUUUUGGUGGCAGAAAUAGAGUAAUAUAGGAAUCUGUUUAAAAAACUUCUAAUCUGAUUUGGUGGCAACUCUUGCUGCAAUGACAAGUGCCCAUGCAUCUGAUAAAAUAUAAACCUUAUAGUUAAUUUAAAUGUGUGGGAUGAAACAUAUUAUUCUGAGCAUUUGUAAUAGCCAUUUGCACACAUGUAUGCCAACUAAAACUUCUGUGAAGAGCACACAUCAUAUGUCUGGCACCAAAAUCAGGGUACUUGUUGAUUUUUCAAUCUGCACGGCGCCAAAGGGGAAUUGUGCGUGCAACACCUAUCAGUUUCCUUGUGCUGCUAAUUACUAAAAAAUAGGACACGUGACUACGGUAGUGUUUGGCAGCACUAGAGAUAGUUUCUUUCAAUUAGCUGCCAGAACAUGUAGGCCCUACAUAUGAAAAAGUUGCGGAAAAGAACAAAAAGCUAAUUCUUUGGAUUACAAAGUGAAAAGACAAUUUCUAGCUAUGGUACAAUAUGUAGCCGACAGCAAGAUUUACCAAGGUCGCUAUUCACUGCAUAUUUGCCUGGCCGGGAGGACUAUUGAAAUAGCUAUAAUGAAUCCUACAUCCAAGCAGAAUAUUGGGCACCAAGAUUUUUGGAAGAACACAUCAACAAUGAAAAAGAUACUAAUAGAAUUUAUAAUAUAGCUUGGUUGCUAUGUCUAUAUGGUCGCAUUGAAAAUAAAAAGUGUAGUAUAUAACCCACUAAUCAUGCAUAAGACACAAGCUGCUUGAAAAUCAGAGGACCCGAAUUGCUUCCAGGAUACAAACCAUCAGAGUCAUAAGAGAUGAUAUAUUAUGUAUGUGCCUGAUGUCUGAAUCUUAGAAGAGCAAGUAGAAACUUCUUUUUACCCAUUUGGAGCA
Molecule: long non-coding RNA, 2516 nt
Filed under: Triticum aestivum (bread wheat)
Lineage: Eukaryota; Viridiplantae; Streptophyta; Magnoliopsida; Poales; Poaceae
Description: long non-coding RNA (TAES_LNC017444)
Source: RNAcentral